GACGAACGCUGGCGGCGUGCUUAACACAUGCAAGUCGAACGGAAAGGCCCUGCUUUUGUGGGGUGCUCGAGUGGCGAACGGGUGAGUAACACGUGAGUAACCUGCCCUUGACUUUGGGAUAACUUCAGGAAACUGGGGCUAAUACCGGAUAGGAGCUCCUGCUGCAUGGUGGGGGUUGGAAAGUUUCGGCGGUUGGGGAUGGACUCGCGGCUUAUCAGCUUGUUGGUGGGGUAGUGGCUUACCAAGGCUUUGACGGGUAGCCGGCCUGAGAGGGUGACCGGCCACAUUGGGACUGAGAUAGGGCCCAGACUCGUACGGGAGGCAGCAGUGGGGAAUAUUGCACAAUGGGCGGAAGCCUGAUGCAGCGACGCCGCGUGCGGGAUGACGGCCUUCGGGUUGUAAACCGCUUUCGCCUGUGACGAAGCGUGAGUGACGGUAAUGGGUAAAGAAGCACCGGCUAACUACGUG
This 468-nucleotide ribosomal RNA is filed under the name uncultured bacterium. RNAcentral's name for it is "partial 16S ribosomal RNA". It matches the Rfam family "Bacterial small subunit ribosomal RNA", at positions 28 to 507 of the family's 1533-position model. The record is from RNAcentral.